Small nuclear RNA from Fukomys damarensis (Damara mole-rat), 107 nucleotides. Lineage: Eukaryota; Metazoa; Chordata; Mammalia; Rodentia; Bathyergidae. The record is from Ensembl.
GUGCUCAUUUUGGCAGCACAUACGCUAAAACUGGAAUAAUACAGAGAAGAUUAGUGCAGUUCCUGCAAAAGGGUGACAUGCAAAUUCAUGAAGCAUUUCAUAUUUUG